Metopolophium dirhodum (rose-grain aphid) is the source of this 470-nucleotide long non-coding RNA. RefSeq lists it as uncharacterized. The record is from RefSeq and is a predicted model, not a curated record. NCBI's taxonomy places the organism in Eukaryota, Metazoa, Arthropoda, Insecta, Hemiptera, Aphididae. The transcript has 2 exons.
GGGGAUACCACUUUACAUAAAAACUCAUUAGAAAUACUAAAUUAUAUUAAAAUAUUAUUGAGUACAACAUCAAUACAAACUAAACAUGAACUUUAAAUUCAUCAUUGCCAUGGCAAUUUUCAUCAUCGUUAGUAUGUUUAAUUUAGCACAAGUUGAUGCACAAGCAUCAUCUGCUCCUCCCACGUCUGCCACGUCUACCGCACCUACCUCGACUACCGCAACAGGCCAAUGCCCAUCUUACCCUCCUAAAUAAUCUGCAGGAACUUCAUAACCGACAGCAACUACUUGAUAAUGAUAUUCAAUAUGACUAUAGUUGCAAGUCUGAUAUAAGUUAAUAAUUUAUCUUAUAUACUUUCUGAUGGCUAAUGUACCUAUUUUAUAUGCAAAUACAAUUGUAUGCACACUAAGAUGUAUACUCAUAUUAUAUAUCCAUUAAAAUACAAAAUAUAUGAUAUAUCCAAAUUUUAAUA